GACGAACGCUGGCGGCGUGCUUAACACAUGCAAGUCGAACGGAAAGGCCCUGCUUUUGUUGGGUGCUCGAUUGGCGAACGGGUGAGUAACACGUGAGUAACCUGCCCUUGACUUUGUGAUAACUUCAGGAAACUGGGGCUAAUACCGGAUAGGAGCUCCUGCUGCAUGUUGUGGGUUGGAAAGUUUCGGCUGUUGGGGAUGGACUCGCGGCUUAUCAGCUUGUUGGUGUGGUAGUGGCUUACCAAGGAUUUGACGGGUAGCCGGCCUGAGAGGGUGAACAGCGACAAUGGGACUGAGAUACGGAGCAGAAUCCUACGGGAGGCAGCAGUGGGGAAUAUUGCAGAAUGGGCGGAAGCCAGAUGCAGCAACGCCGCGUGCGGGAUGACGGCCUUCGGGGUGUAAACCGAUGUCGACUGUGACGAAGAGGGAGUGACGGUAAUGGGUAAAGAAGCAACGGCUAACUACGUG
RNAcentral lists this ribosomal RNA (468 nucleotides) under uncultured bacterium. Its description in RNAcentral is "partial 16S ribosomal RNA". It matches the Rfam family "Bacterial small subunit ribosomal RNA", at positions 28 to 507 of the family's 1533-position model. The record is from RNAcentral.